RNAcentral lists this long non-coding RNA (777 nucleotides) under Homo sapiens (human). RNAcentral describes it as "DDHD1 divergent transcript". The record is from RNAcentral. Lineage: Eukaryota; Metazoa; Chordata; Mammalia; Primates; Hominidae.
CAGGGACUGCAGUAAAUACCUUAAAAACACAACCUCAUUCCAACCACAAGAAUCCAAUCAGAGAGAGGGACCGCAGAGAAAGCCCAGGGAAGAGCCAAGGCCCUUGAGAGAAGGAGCUGGAUCCCAGAAUCUAUGGAAUUGAAGGAGAGUCCCACAGAAGUUACCUUCUGAGCACGCAAUGGACUUUGUGUAAGCAGAAGAAUAAACUUUUACCAUGAAUCGGAGAAUGCCAUUUGCUGAAUAAUGGAACUCAUCUCAUGUUUUAAAAUCCUAUGUGCAUAUAAGGUUGUGUGCGGAUACAAGGUUAUUUUUUUCAUUGAAGUACCUCCAACCUAAAGCUCAGAAACAGGUGUGAUAUAGCACUCCUAUAAAAGGUAAAAAAAAAAGAGUUUAACUAAAAUUCCAUUCUCUGAUUAUUUUGCUCUAUUGGGUUAAUACUAAUGGAAGUCUUUACAAAAUGUUAAAUACAAUUUUUUAAGAUAAAUACAAAAAUGACAUAUGCUUAUGUCAAAAUGACAAGUACUUAAAUUUCAAAUUUUCACAGGAAAUAAAAUAUAGAUAAAUAUGCUUUGGGAAGGUAUUUCAAAUACUGUAUUAUGUCAACUGAUUUAAUGGCUUACUGAAUGAGUCACUUGAACACAGUUCUAAAGCAUGUUAAUUCUGUUCUAGAAGUUCAAAAUAUGUUUUUAGAAUGUAUAAUUUUGAUUAUUUUACUGUAUACCCAAAUAUUAAAAUAUUCUGAGCUGCAUGUGAACAAUAAAAAGUCAUUUCACAAAA